This 386-nucleotide ribosomal RNA is filed under the name uncultured bacterium. Its description in RNAcentral is "bacterial SSU rRNA". It matches the Rfam family "Bacterial small subunit ribosomal RNA", at positions 28 to 408 of the family's 1533-position model. The record is from RNAcentral.
GACGAACGCUGGCGGCGUGCUUAACACAUGCAAGUCGAGCGAGAAAGCUCCUUCGGGAGUGAGUACAGCGGCGAACGGGUGAGUAACACGUGGGCAACCUGCCCUAGGGAGCGGGACAACCCGAGGAAACUCGGGCUAAUACCGCAUGAUUCGUCGUGCCUCAAGGCGCGACGGGAAAUGGUAGCUUCGGCCUCCGCCCUGGGAUGGGCCCGCGCCGCAUUAGCUUGUUGGUGAGGAACGGCUCACCAAGGCAACGAUGCGUAGCUGGUCUGAGAGGACGAUCAGCCACACUGGCACUGCGACACGGGCCAGACUCCUACGGGAGGCAGCAGUAAGGAAUAUUGCGCAAUGGGCGAAAGCCUGACGCAGCGACGCCGCGUGGGGGA